AAGAAUUUUAAAUGUGGGGAAAUAAUCAAGCUAGUAGGUGAAGAGAGGAAGUUAUAAAACAGCAUGACUCUCAUUUUAUACAUUGUCUCUAUAAAUAUGCAUAAUAUCUGCUGUGCAGCGUGCUGAACUGUGAGGCUAACAGAAGGAUCUGAUUAAGAAGGAGAAGUGGAAAAUCCCCAAGAAGAGGGGAUGAUAAGAAGUACAAGAUUUCGAAAAUUGAGAGAAGGGAGGAUGCUAAAAUCCAGUCACUCAAGCACUUCCUCCUCCAGGAAAUCACUCAUGAAAAUAUCCACACAACAAUCCCCAAGUCUGUCUUCUGCACUCAUGUAGAUCAAGGUGGUGUGAGGUGUCUUGUCAGUGAGGGAAGGUGAGAUUGAUUGUGGUGAAUCAUUGUACAGCUCCAUCAUCAUGGAAGGAAAAGGGCUGUGAAGGCCUGUGUGCUUAAAGGCAGGAGGUGCCACCAAGUGUGAGCUGAUCCCUUGGUAUGCAUGCCUGCUUCCCUGCCUCCCCCUUUCUUCAUAGUGAUUUUUGCUUUACUUUUACUGUGCUCGGGCCUGAACCCAGAGUCUUAAGCAUGUUAGGCAAGCACUGUACUCCUGAGUUAUACUUUCAGCCUAGCAAUGUUGUUUUGGACCUAAUGAACUUGCUGCUGGACAGCACUUAGAGUGGUAGUACUUAGCCAAUAGUAAAAUAUUAAAUAUUUACCGAGCGAAUAAAUGAACAUUAGGCAAUAAAACUCAAUCUUUUUUCUUUUAAUUGGUGGAGCCAAGUCACCUAUCAUUUUGCACUUGGGAAUACUUUAAAAUUAUAAAAUAUGCUGGGUGUGUGGGCACAUGCCUUUAAAGCAUUCGGGAGGCUGUGGCAGGAGGAUCGAUGUAAAUUCAAUGCCAAUUUGGACUACAUAAGCAAGUUCAAAGUCAGCUUGCUGUACAGAGUGAGACUCUGUCUCAAAACAAAACAAAUAAACAAAAAAAUCCAAAGCAAAUAAGUAAGAUAAAGUCACAAAAUAAGAAAUAAGUACACAUUAAUUAUAGACAAAUACUUAGAAAAUAUGGUUGAUGAAAAAGAAAAAAAUAAUACUUUGGUACCAUCCUGCCGUCCAGCCAUAACCAGUGAUGUUGAUAAUUUGCUGUCUAGUUCCUUGUGGGGAUUCUGCUGAGCAAACCCACUUAAAUAUCAGCAGAAGGGCUGGGGAUAUAGCUCAGCAGUACAAGCACCUGCCUGGCAAGAGCAAGGUCCUGAGUUCAAUUUCCAGUAUAUCGGUAGAGGCAAAUCAUUUGGUAAUUUGCUUAAUUUUUCUUUUUACUUAAUGAUAGAUAAUUUUUCUACUUGUGUCACUGAAAAAAAUUCUUCUAAACAUUUUCCCAUAUAUUUAAGCAUAUAUAUAGUGAUUACUCUAUAUUGUUUUAAGUGUUUUAUGUGUAUUAACUAAUUAGAUUUCUAUUAACGGCUUAUGAAUUAGGUACUAUUGUAUCUAAAUUUUAUAAAUUGAGGCAUUUAAUCAUGAAAAGAGUAGAGUAAGUGACUUGUGUAAAGUCACACAACUAAAUGGCGGGACCUGAUUACAACCCAGUGAUACAACGCUUCACUUUUACACUGUGUAUCUCUAAGUGCUCAAAUAAAC
Long non-coding RNA from Cavia porcellus (domestic guinea pig), 1624 nucleotides. RefSeq lists it as uncharacterized. The record is from RefSeq and is a predicted model, not a curated record. NCBI's taxonomy places the organism in Eukaryota, Metazoa, Chordata, Mammalia, Rodentia, Caviidae. The transcript has 4 exons.